This 497-nucleotide ribosomal RNA is filed under the name uncultured bacterium. RNAcentral's name for it is "partial 16S ribosomal RNA". It matches the Rfam family "Bacterial small subunit ribosomal RNA", at positions 28 to 507 of the family's 1533-position model. The record is from RNAcentral.
GAUGAACGCUGGCGGCGUGCCUAAUACAUGCAAGUCGAGCGAACAGACGAGGAGCUUGCUCCUCUGACGUCAGCGGCGGACGGGUGAGUAACACGUGGAUAACCUACCUAUAAGACUGGGAUAACUUCGGGAAACCGGAGCUAAUACCGGAUAAUAUAUUGAACCGCAUGGUUCAAUAGUGAAAGACGGUUUUGCUGUCACUUAUAGAUGGAUCCGCGCCGCAUUAGCUAGUUGGUAAGGUAACGGCUUACCAAGGCAACGAUGCGUAGCCGAACUGAGAGGGUGAUCGGCCCCACUGGAACUUAGACACGGUCCAGACUCCUACGGGAGGCAGCAGUAGGGAAUCUUCCGCAAUGGGCGAAAGCCUGACGGAGCAACGCCGCGUGAGUGAUGAAGGUCUUCGGAUCGUAAAACUCUGUUAUUAGGGAAGAACAAAUGUGUAAGUAACUAUGCACGUCUUGACGGUACCUAAUCAGAAAGCCACGGCUAACUACGUG